GAUGAACGCUGGCGGCGUGCCUAAUACAUGCAAGUCGAGCGAACAGACGAGGAGCUUGCUCCUCUGACGUUAGCGGCGGACGGGUGAGUAACACGUGGAUAACCUACCUAUAAGACUGGGAUAACUUCGGGAAACCGGAGCUAAUACCGGAUAAUAUAUUGCACCGCAUGGUUCAAUAGUGAAAGACGGUUUUGCUGUCACUUAUAGAUUGAUCCGCGCCGCAUUAGCUAGUUGGUAAGGUAACGGCUUAUCAAGGCGACGAUGCGUAGCCGACCUGAGAGGGUGAUCGGCCACACUGGAACUGAGACACGGUCCAGACUCCUACGGGAGGCAGCAGUAGGGAAUCUUCCGCAAUGGGCGAAAGCCUGACGGAGCAACGCCGCGUGAGUGAUGAAGGUCUUCGGAUCGUAAAACUCUGUUAUUAGGGAAGAACAAAUGUGUAAGUAACUAUGCACGUCUUGACGGUACCUAAUCAGAAAGCCACGGCUAACUACGUG
This 497-nucleotide ribosomal RNA is filed under the name uncultured bacterium. RNAcentral's name for it is "partial 16S ribosomal RNA". It matches the Rfam family "Bacterial small subunit ribosomal RNA", at positions 28 to 507 of the family's 1533-position model. The record is from RNAcentral.